CCUACGGGUGGCAGCAGUGAGGAAUAUUGGUCAAUGGACGUGAGUCUGAACCAGCCAAGUAGCGUGAAGGAUGACUGCCCUAUGGGUUGUAAACUUCUUUUAUAUGGGAAUAAAACGUUCCACGUGUGGGAUUUUGUAUGUACCAUAUGAAUAAGGAUCGGCUAACUCCGUGCCAGCAGCCGCGGUAAUACGGAGGAUCCGAGCGUUAUCCGGAUUUAUUGGGUUUAAAGGGAGCGUAGGUGGAUUGUUAAGUCAGUUGUGAAAGUUUGCGGCUCAACCGUAAAAUUGCAGUUGAAACUGGCAGUCUUGAGUACAGUAGAGGUGGGCGGAAUUCGUGGUGUAGCGGUGAAAUGCUUAGAUAUCCCGAAGAACUCCGAUUGCGAAGGCAGUUCACUGGACUGCAACUGACACUGAGGCUCGAAAGUGUGGGUAUCAAACAGGAUUAGAUACCCUUGUAGUC
Molecule: ribosomal RNA, 460 nt
Filed under: uncultured bacterium
Lineage: Bacteria
Description: partial 16S ribosomal RNA
Rfam family: Bacterial small subunit ribosomal RNA
Source: RNAcentral